CCUACGGGAGGCUGCAGUGAGGAAUAUUGGUCAAUGGGCGCAGGGCUGAACCAGCCAAGUCGCGUGAGGGAUGACGGUCCUAUGGAUUGUAAACCUCUUUUGUCGGGGAGCAAAAGACGCCACGCGUGGCGUUCCGCGAGUACCCGAAGAAAAAGCAUCGGCUAACUCCGUGCCAGCAGCCGCGGUAAUACGGAGGAUGCGAGCGUUAUCCGGAGUUAUUGGGUUUAAAGGGUGCGCAGGCGGAAGAUCAAGUCAGCGGUAAAAUUGAGGGGCUCAACCUCUUCGAGCCGUUGAAACUGGUUUUCUUGAGUGAGCGAGAAGUAUGCGGAAUGCGGGGUGUAGCGGUGAAAUGCAUAGAUAUCACGCAGAACUCCGAUUGCGAAGGCAGCAUACCGGCGCUCAACUGACGCUCAUGCACGAAAGUGUGGGUAUCGAACAGGAUUAGAUACCCUUGUAGUC
Molecule: ribosomal RNA, 459 nt
Filed under: uncultured bacterium
Lineage: Bacteria
Description: partial 16S ribosomal RNA
Rfam family: Bacterial small subunit ribosomal RNA
Source: RNAcentral